Molecule: ribosomal RNA, 253 nt
Filed under: uncultured bacterium
Lineage: Bacteria
Description: partial 16S ribosomal RNA
Rfam family: Bacterial small subunit ribosomal RNA
Source: RNAcentral
UACGAAGGGGGCUAGCGUUGCUCGGAAUCACUGGGCGUAAAGCGCACGUAGGCGGAUUGCUAAGUCAGGGGUGAAAUCCUGGAGCUCAACUCCAGAACUGCCUUUGAUACUGGCGAUCUUGAGUCCGGGAGAGGUGAGUGGAACUGCGAGUGUAGAGGUGAAAUUCGUAGAUAUUGGGAAGAACACCGAUGGCGAAGGCAGCCAUCUGGACCGACACUGACGCUGAGGCGCGAAAGCGUGGGGAGCAAACAGG